AAUGAACGCUGGCGGCGUGCCUAACACAUGCAAGUCGUACGAGAAAUCCCGAGCUUGCUUGGGAGAGUAAAGUGGCGCACGGGUGAGUAACGCGUGGGUAACCCACCUUCGAAUCUAGGAUAACUCCGCGAAAGCGGUGCUAAUACCGGAUAAGACCACAGCCGUUUCGGCGGCAGAGGUAAAAGCUGACCUCUCCAUGGAAGUUAGCGUUCGAGGACGGGCCCGCGUCCUAUCAGCUUGUUGGUGGGGUAAUGGCCUACCAAGGCAGCGACGGGUAGCUGGUCUGAGAGGAUGAUCAGCCACACUGGAACUGGAACACGGUCCAGACUCCUACGGGAGGCAGCAGUGAGGAAUUUUGCGCAAUGGGGGAAACCCUGACGCAGCAACGCCGCGUGGGUGAAGAAGGCUUUCGGGUCGUAAAGCCCUGUCAGGUGGGAAGAACCGUUUCGAUACUAAUAAUGUCGAAGCCCGACGGUACCACCAGAGGAAGCACCGGCCAACUCCGUG
Molecule: ribosomal RNA, 507 nt
Filed under: uncultured bacterium
Lineage: Bacteria
Description: bacterial SSU rRNA
Rfam family: Bacterial small subunit ribosomal RNA
Source: RNAcentral